AUUGAACGCUGGCGGCAGGCCUAACACAUGCAAGUCGAACGGUAACAGGAAGAAGCUUGCUUCUUUGCUGACGAGUGGCGGACGGGUGAGUAAUGUCUGGGAAACUGCCUGAUGGAGGGGGAUAACUACUGGAAACGGUAGCUAAUACCGCAUAACGUCGCAACGACCAAAGAGGGGGACCUUCGGGCCUCUUGCCAUCGGAUGUGCCCAGAUGGGAUUAGCUAGUAGGUGGGGUAACGGCUCACCUAGGCGACGAUCCCUAGCUGGUCUGAGAGGAUGACCAGCCACACUGGAACUGAGACACGGUCCAGACUCCUACGGGAGGCAGCAGUGGGGAAUAUUGCACAAUGGGCGCAAGCCUGAUGCAGCCAUGCCGCGUGUAUGAAGAAGGCCUUCGGGUUGUAAAGUACUUUCAGCGGGGAGGA
RNAcentral lists this ribosomal RNA (425 nucleotides) under uncultured Escherichia sp. RNAcentral describes it as "bacterial SSU rRNA". It matches the Rfam family "Bacterial small subunit ribosomal RNA", at positions 30 to 448 of the family's 1533-position model. The record is from RNAcentral. Lineage: Bacteria; Pseudomonadati; Pseudomonadota; Gammaproteobacteria; Enterobacterales; Enterobacteriaceae.